This 161-nucleotide ribosomal RNA is filed under the name uncultured bacterium. Its description in RNAcentral is "partial 16S ribosomal RNA". It matches the Rfam family "Bacterial small subunit ribosomal RNA", at positions 355 to 507 of the family's 1533-position model. The record is from RNAcentral.
UGGGGAAUUUUGGACAAUGGACGCAAGUCUGAUCCAGCCAUGCCGCGUGUGUGAAGAAGGCCUUUUGGUUGUAAAGCACUUUAAGCGAGGAGGAGGCUACCGAGAUUAAUACUCUUGGAUAGUGGACGUUACUCGCAGAAUAAGCACCGGCUAACUCUGUG